CGCCACACUGUCUUCCACAAUGGUUGAACCAAUUUACACUCCCAUUAACAGUGUAAAAGUGUUCCUAUUUCUCCACAUCCUCUCCAGCAUCUGUUGUCUCCAGAUUUUUUUAUGAUCGCCAUUCAAACUGGCAUGAGAUGGUAUCUCAAUGUGGUUUUGAUUUGCAUUUCUCUAAUGACCAGUGAUGAUGAGCUUUUUUUUAUGUUUGUUGGC
Long non-coding RNA from Cebus imitator (Panamanian white-faced capuchin), 213 nucleotides. RefSeq lists it as uncharacterized. The record is from RefSeq and is a predicted model, not a curated record. The transcript has 3 exons. Lineage: Eukaryota; Metazoa; Chordata; Mammalia; Primates; Cebidae.